This is a long non-coding RNA of Ostrea edulis (European flat oyster), 565 nucleotides long. RefSeq lists it as uncharacterized. Lineage: Eukaryota; Metazoa; Mollusca; Bivalvia; Ostreida; Ostreidae. The transcript has 3 exons. The record is from RefSeq and is a predicted model, not a curated record.
GGUAUGUGUAUCCUAUAUUGCAGAUGUUGAUCAUGAAGAGAUUGUAGCUGAACAGAUGGUGAAAUCCACUGAUAAUUGGGGACAUGGGAGGAGAGUUGUUGAAUUAGGGGUGUUGACAGAUGCUCUAAAGGCCUGUGGCAUGCCAUUACAGCUCACUCAUGCUGUAGAUAUCCAGACUUAUGGACUAUUGACUAUCAUAAAGGUUUGAAUAUGAUGUCUCCAGUAUGGAUAUGUUUGACGAUUUUUACCAUGGAAACAAACUCACAGACCAACAUGUUUUGAACAUGAUGUCUCCAGCAAGGAUAUGUUUGAUGAUGGUUACCAUGGGAAUGAACUAAAAAAUGUCUUUUUCUGAUAGAAUAGACAUAAUGCUAUCCAUUUCAUUCAAUUUUAGAAUUUUUUAAUUAUUCUCAUGUCAGUCAUACCUUUCCAUUUUUUUAACAGGUUUUGAACAUGAUGUCUCUAGCAAGGAUAUGUUUGAUGACGGUUACCAUGGAAACGAACUCACGGACCUAUGUCAAAAAUGUAUUUUUCUGAUAAAAUAAAUAUAAUGCUAUCCAUUUCA